GGGAGGUGGCGGCCGCCCUGAUCCCACCCCGCGGGCCUCCCCGCCCGUACCUCGGAGAACCACUGGCGAGCGGCCGGCCCCCUUUGGCUCACUCGGCCUCAGCCGCAGAGGGGAGGCGUCUUUCUCUGCAGCCCGGGGGCUCUCCGAGAGCCUCCUAGCAGCCUCUCCUCCCCCGGCGGAAUGGGAGGGGGGCUCGGGGCGUGGGGGGCAGGGGACGCAUGCUGUGGAAGAUGCUCUCCCCGAGGAAAAUGCAGUGGGCAAGGGGACAGGGCGACAGGCGCAGGUGAAGGCCCUGCGGCCAGCGGAGGCCGGCGCUCUAGAGGGGCUCCAGCCGCACCCGGGAAAUCUAAAAGCAGAUGGGGCGGGGGUUCUGCGCGCACAGCUGCCCGGCCCUCGAGACUUUCUCAUCCUCAACUUGACGCUCUGGAAAAUGGAUCCAGCUGCUCCUAUGAGGUGUCUCCGCAAGCAGGAGCUGCCUGGAAACCAGAGGGAGCCCUGUGAAACAGCCAGGGUGGGGGCUCCUUAUGCUCCAUUUCACAAAGGAGGAACCAGAGCUGAGAGAGAGGGAGAGAGGAAGAAGAAGAAAGAAGAAAGAAGAAGAAGGAGGAGAAGGAGAAGAAGGAGAAGAGAGAAAGGAGGAAGGAGAAAGGAGGAAGGAAGAAGAAGGAAGAAGUUAAGAAGAAGAAGAGGUGGAGGAGGAGGAGGAGGGG
This 710-nucleotide long non-coding RNA is filed under the name Homo sapiens (human). RNAcentral describes it as "novel transcript". The record is from RNAcentral. Lineage: Eukaryota; Metazoa; Chordata; Mammalia; Primates; Hominidae.